CCACAAGAUGCCACCCUGAACACACCCAGCCUUUUCUGAUUUCAGAUGCUAAGCAGGGUUGAUCCUGGUUAGUUCUCACAUGGGAGGUCACCAGGGCUAUGGA
This 103-nucleotide ribosomal RNA is filed under the name Pogona vitticeps (central bearded dragon). Lineage: Eukaryota; Metazoa; Chordata; Lepidosauria; Squamata; Agamidae. The record is from RNAcentral.